Molecule: ribosomal RNA, 117 nt
Filed under: Candidatus Aminicenantota bacterium
Lineage: Bacteria; Candidatus Aminicenantota
Source: RNAcentral
CCUGGUGGCUAUGGCGGAAGAGGUACACCCGUUCCCAUUUCGAACACGGCAGUUAAGACUUCCAGCGCCGAUGGUAUUGCUCCGGCGACGGGGUGAGAGAGUAGGGCGUCGCCAGGA